This 753-nucleotide ribosomal RNA is filed under the name uncultured organism. Its description in RNAcentral is "bacterial SSU rRNA". It matches the Rfam family "Bacterial small subunit ribosomal RNA", at positions 56 to 839 of the family's 1533-position model. The record is from RNAcentral.
UGCAAGUCGAACGAGAAGUCUACUUCGGUAGAUGGAUAGUGGCAGACGGGUGAGUAACGCGUAGGAAUCUACCCUUUAGUGUGGAAUAGCCGCGCGAAAGAGGGAGUAAUACCGCAUGUGCCCUUACGGGUAAAGCUUUUUAAGCGCUAAAGGAGGAGCCUGCGUCCUAUCAGGUAGUUGGUGAGAUAAAAGCCCACCAAGCCUAUAACAGGUAGCCGGUGUGAGAGCACGACCGGCCACAAGGUCACUGAAACACGGGGCCUACACCUACGGGUGGCAGCAACCAGGAAUUUUGCGCAAUGGACGAAAGUCUGACGCAGCGACACCGCGUGUGGGAAGACGCUCUUCGGAGUGUAAACCACUGUGGCAAGGGAAGAAUUUUGACGAUACCUUGCUAGAAAGCACCUGCUAACUACGUGCCAGAAGCCUCGGUAAUACGUAGGGUGCAAGCGUUAUCCGGAUUUACUGGGCGUAAAGCGUUUCGUCGGCGUUUUUGUAAGUUUAUUGUUUAAGCCCGGAGCUUAACUCCGGAAUAGCAAUAAAUACUGCAGAAAUUGAGUAUGUUAGAGGGAGCUAGAAUCCUUGGUGGAGGGGUGAAAUCCGUAGAGAUCAAGAAGAAUACCAUACGCGAAAGGCAGGCUCCUGGAACAUUACUGACGCUCAGGAACGAAAGCUUGGGUAGCAAAAGGGAUUAGAGACCCCUGUAGUCCAAGCCGUAAACGAUCCUCGCUAGUUGCCUGGUUAGUUAUGAAU